AUAUUGGACAAUGGGGGAAACCCUGAUCCAGCGACGCCGCGUGAAUGAUGAAGGCCUUAGGGUUGUAAAGUUCUUUCGUCCGUGACGAUGAUGACGGUAGUCGGAUAAGAAGCCCCGGCUAACUCCGUGCCAGCAGCCGCGGUAAUACGGAGGGGGCGAGCGUUGUUCGGAAUUACUGGGCGUAAAGGGCGCGUAGGCGGUGACGUUAGUCGGGCGUGAAAGCCCCGGGCUCAACCUGGGAUGUGCGUUCGAUACUGCGUUGCUUGAGAGCGGAAGAGGGUAGUGGAAUUCCCAGUGUAGAGGUGAAAUUCGUAGAUAUUGGGAAGAACACCAGUGGCGAAGGCGGCUACCUGGUCCGUUUCUGACGCUGAGGCGCGAAAGCGUGGGGAGCAAA
Molecule: ribosomal RNA, 394 nt
Filed under: uncultured bacterium
Lineage: Bacteria
Description: bacterial SSU rRNA
Rfam family: Bacterial small subunit ribosomal RNA
Source: RNAcentral